RNAcentral lists this ribosomal RNA (399 nucleotides) under Morinoia aosen. RNAcentral describes it as "partial large subunit ribosomal RNA". The record is from RNAcentral. Lineage: Eukaryota; Metazoa; Arthropoda; Malacostraca; Amphipoda; Talitridae.
UUAUUGAAACUGGAAUGAAAGGCUUAACAAAUGCAUAAUUUUUUAUUUAAAAUAACUAAAAUUUUUAUUUUUUGUAAGAAUACAUAAAUAUUUAAAAGGGACGAUAAGACCCUAAAAGCUUUAUUAGUUAAAUUUUUAUUAUUAUUUUAAUUUGAUUAUUUAAUGUAUUUUAACUGGGGCGGUUGUUUUUAUAACAAAAGUUUUUUUUACAAAUAGGUUAAAAGAUCCUUAAAAUUAGGAUAGGUUGUUUAAGUUACUUUAGGGGUAACAGCGUAAUAAUAAUAGGGAGACCUUAUUUAUAUUAUUGAUUGCGACCUCGAUGUUGAAUUAAAUAUUUCCAUAUAAAGCAGAAAUUAUGUGUGAAAGUUUGUUCAACUUUUAAAGAUUUACAUGAUCUGA